Molecule: ribosomal RNA, 440 nt
Filed under: uncultured bacterium
Lineage: Bacteria
Description: partial 16S ribosomal RNA
Rfam family: Bacterial small subunit ribosomal RNA
Source: RNAcentral
CCUACGGGUGGCUGCAGUCGGGAAUUUUGCUCAAUGGGCGCAAGCCUGAAGCAGCAACGCCGCGUGAGGGAUGAAGGCCUUCGGGUCGUAAACCUCUUUUGCCGAGGACGAUAAUGACGGUACUCGGUGAAUACGCCACGGCUAACUACGUGCCAGCAGCCGCGGUAAUACGUAGGUGGCAAGCGUUGUCCGGAUUUACUGGGCGUAAAGAGCGCGCAGGCGGUCGUAUAAGUCGAAUGUGAAAGCCCCCGGAUCAACUGGGGAGAGUCAGUGGAUACUGUUCGACUCGAAGGCAGGAGAGGGAAGUGGAAUUCCGGGUGUAGUGGUGAAAUGCGUAGAUAGCCGGAGGAACACCAGUGGCGAAGGCGACUUUCUGGCCUGUUCUUGACGCUGAGGCGCGAAAGCUAGGGGAGCAAACGGGAUUAGAUACCCGUGUAGUC